This is a non-coding RNA of Myotis lucifugus (little brown bat), 76 nucleotides long. Lineage: Eukaryota; Metazoa; Chordata; Mammalia; Chiroptera; Vespertilionidae. The record is from Rfam.
GGUGGUUCUUGGGUGAUGAACCCCGGCAUCGGGCUCCCUCCUCUCUGGUUCUGGGGCGUGUCACCCGAGAACUGCC